RNAcentral lists this long non-coding RNA (1036 nucleotides) under Arabidopsis lyrata. RNAcentral describes it as "long non-coding RNA (ALYR_LNC001774)". Lineage: Eukaryota; Viridiplantae; Streptophyta; Magnoliopsida; Brassicales; Brassicaceae. The record is from RNAcentral.
AUUAUACAGACACUUAAAGUACAUUAUCAUUUACCAUUAGAUCUUUCUUUAUUUACCAAAAAGUUAACUAAACGUGUCUUGUGAAACGUCGACUCUUAGUUUUUGGUUUCUUCUUUUUCGAUUACAGACAAAUUUUGAUUUUGUUUGUUCUCAUCAAACACAAAAUCUCCAUUCAAGGUAGUUCUAUUCUACGUUUUAUUUCUCUUUUAUUAGAUUUUUAUUUUGUUUCUCUUAUUCUAGUUUAAUUCUCUUAUUCUAGUUUAAGUUUAGAACAUUGUUUUUGUGUGUAGUUUUUUUUAUAUCAAAUCUCUGGUCCUCCUUGUGAAGGCUGCAGCUGUGCUGGCAUUUUGUGCCAACCUCGAUUUCCAGGUAUAUUGUUUUUAUCUUUAAGUUUUUGUGUUCUUACUUUUUUUUGGAUCAUAUGUUAUUAAGAUUUUUGUGUAAACUAUCAAUUUGUCUAACCCAUACAGUUUCCGUGUGUAUUACGGUAUCUUGACCUAACCAAAUAACCACAAAUCUUUUAUUAUUGUUUAAAAAAAAAAAACUAAAAUGAUACGAUUAUCUUUUAUGAAAAUCAACAAAAAUUAUAAUAAACAAGAGUUUGUUUUAUACAAAUGUUUAGAGUUCUCUAGCUAUUUCAAAAAUAAAUAGUUAAAAACAUAUGGAAUGAUCGAUUGUGUGCAGGGAAUAUUCCUAAUAAUAUUAUUGCACUUGAAUUUAAAAUUUUCUUAGGUGGAACAUCUAUAUGUAUCUUCGUCGUCAUAUAUAAUAUAUUAUAUAUGCAUGUAUACACUCACCUGUAUGUGUAAAAAAAUUAUGUUAAAUGUAGCUCAAUUCUAGAUAAAAUACAUAUAUAAAUGGAUUUUGAGAAUCAAAUGUUUUCUUUUUUGUCAAAAGGGUUUCGACUUGCUCCGAGGAAAAGAAGUGAGAAUAAAAAAGGUGUUUUUUAGUUUAGGGUUUAUCAUUCUCCUUGACUUUGCAAAACGUGAAAUAUAAGGCACUUACAUCGUUGUACUCUGUUGCUUUUUUUUUAUAG